GGGAAGAAAAUUUGGCUGAUCAUGCUGUGAAGAAGCUUCAGCUCAACGAACAUGAGAUUGGCAUUGUGAAGGUCAAAUUUUUUUGGAAGGUUCCUGUGAGAAGCUUCUGCAUUCCAUCAAAAUCAUUCAGCAACUUCACAACUUGAAGUCCAAAGGCGGGCAUUUAUAGAAGAUGCCCUAAUCUUCUUUGGUCCAAAAUAAUCUCAAUGCCCUUCACUAUCGACCCAAUGGACUCGGU
Molecule: long non-coding RNA, 238 nt
Filed under: Elaeis guineensis (African oil palm)
Lineage: Eukaryota; Viridiplantae; Streptophyta; Magnoliopsida; Arecales; Arecaceae
Description: long non-coding RNA (EGUI_LNC014044)
Source: RNAcentral